RNAcentral lists this long non-coding RNA (324 nucleotides) under Capsicum annuum. Its description in RNAcentral is "long non-coding RNA (CANN_LNC013002)". The record is from RNAcentral. Lineage: Eukaryota; Viridiplantae; Streptophyta; Magnoliopsida; Solanales; Solanaceae.
UUUCAUUGAUAUACCAAAAGGCUCCUAUUUCACUGUUGUGAUAUUGAUGAUUCCGAAACACAUUGUUGAUGUACCAAUGAGUCUUUAUUACAUCGUUAUUGUAUAGAAGGUCUAUUACUUGGUUCCUAUUGAUGUAUCAUUAUUCCAAAGGUACUAUAUUGGCAUGAACACUAAUGUAAUAAUCUCAAAAGAUUUUGAACUAAGUUAUUGGAAAGAUCUCUUAUGUGUGUUACUUGAUAUACGUGUGGGUGGUAGCUCAGGGGCUUAAGCCUAGCAUGGGCCGAUCCCGAUAUUUGAUAUGAUUACAGUUGAUAUGUACUGGGG